CGGGAGAAUCACGUGGACAUCAUGGUUCCGUUUUGAUGGGAGACUAUUAAGACGCGUCCAAUGCAUCAAACGCCGGCGCACUGAACACGCCCACGCGAGCACGCGCACACCAAGCGUAGUUAGUGAGGCGCGCGCGCGCGCGGGCUGAGCUCCUCUGAGAGUUGAGUUGAGCCAAACAGCCGCUCUGCCGCUGCAUCAACGGGGGAACGGACUUGAGGAAUUUGUACCUGCAAAGAGGCAACGGGCGCUUCUGCAAUUGUUCUACAGGCAAGUUUCAUCUCCGAGAUUCUUGGUGUCUUCUCUGAGGUUUCUCCUCUGAGUGGCCCAGAUCAAGUGACUUCUUCUUUCUCCGCAGCACUGGCUCUGUGGAGCUUCCAUCUAAAACACCCACAAAGUGAGCCAUUGUGUCCCUAAGUGCCAUUUCAAGUUAUAUUUGGGACACUUAGUUCAUGAAAGUUAUUUAUUAAAGACCAAAGUGUCAUUGUCAUUUCAACGCAUCCAUUACACUAAUAUGUGUUGCUUCAAUGUUUCAGCCUGGAAGGAAGAAUGAUGAGCCUUUGUCAUGUGAUCAGCACGGUGGUCAUACUUUCAAAGAUGAGAUGUUUGGUCCAAGCAAGCAGGACAGUGCUGGUUCUGAAAACAAAACGUGUUGUAGUUUAGUAGUGGGUUUGUCGAAGUGGGAUGAACUUCCCGAAAUUUCUUUUCAUCUUUAUUUCAGCUAGCAACUCCUACAAUACCAGAAAAUCAGUCUAAAGUAGAAUCCACCCAGCGGGGGUGCAGUUCCUUCACAGGAAAAACAUCCGCAUGAUUUGGAUUUCACAUCAAGGCGGACACACGCGCGCGCGCGCACACACGCACAGGCUUGUGCGCGCACAGCUGGAUUGCACUUUCUAUAUUUGUAUGUACAACGUGAUCCUGAUUUCAUCUUGUGACAUCCAACUAAAGUUGCGCUAAUGAGCCUCAGGCCUGUUGAUGCAGAAGACCUUUGUCUGCAGAUGACAUUCAUGUCCUUUUACACAUUAGUCAAUUUGCUAUCGAUUAAAGACCGUGCGCAAGUA
Hippocampus comes (tiger tail seahorse) is the source of this 1058-nucleotide long non-coding RNA. RefSeq lists it as uncharacterized. The record is from RefSeq and is a predicted model, not a curated record. Lineage: Eukaryota; Metazoa; Chordata; Actinopteri; Syngnathiformes; Syngnathidae. The transcript has 3 exons.